UGAGAACAGCCAUCUCUCUUCGGAACAUAAAGCCGCGGAUCUGUUCGGAAUGUAAAGCCGCGGGUGUGAUUACUGUGGGUUUAUGAAUUCCGUUGUGUCUGAAUAAGGAUUUGAGAAGAAAAGAGUCGGUUACAUUGACGAAAACAAAAGGGCGAGCGCUUUCCCGCACGCCUUGAAAUAUUUUGUUUCACAUGCUGAGUUCCUCCAGCAGAUUGUUUGCUGCACCUUUGCUUGUCGACUUUUGGACAAAAAGGUUAAAACGGCUAUUGUAAAAGAAACCUGAUGCGAUGGAAGAAUUGUCCCUGUUUUCGUGGCAAUUAUUUUUUAUUCUCAAACCAAAACUAAUUAAAAUAUUUCAUCA
Leucoraja erinaceus (little skate) is the source of this 361-nucleotide long non-coding RNA. RefSeq lists it as uncharacterized. The transcript is spliced from 2 exons. NCBI's taxonomy places the organism in Eukaryota, Metazoa, Chordata, Chondrichthyes, Rajiformes, Rajidae. The record is from RefSeq and is a predicted model, not a curated record.